AACGCGAAGAACCUUACCUGGGUUCGAAAUGCAGUUGUAAGCCUCAGAGAUGAGGUCCCCUCUUCGGAGGCAGCUGUAUAGGUGCUGCAUGGCUGUCGUCAGCUCGUGUCGUGAGAUGUUGGGUUAAGUCCCGCAACGAGCGCAACCCUUGUCCAUAGUUGCUAACGCGUAGUGGCGAGAACUCUAUGGAGACUGCCGGUGAUAAACCGGAGGAAGGUGGGGAUGACGUCAAGUCCUCAUGGCCCUUAUGUCCUGGGCUACACACGUGCUACAAUGGCGGUGACAGUGGGAGGCUCGCUCGCGAGGGCAUGCCGAUCUCCAAAAGCCGUCUCAGUUCAGAUUGCACUCUGCAACUCGGGUGCAUGAAGGUGGAAUCGCUAGUAAUCGUGGAUCAGCACGCCACGGUGAAUACGUUCCCGGGCCUUGUACCACCGGUACUA
This 440-nucleotide ribosomal RNA is filed under the name uncultured bacterium. RNAcentral describes it as "bacterial SSU rRNA". It matches the Rfam family "Bacterial small subunit ribosomal RNA", at positions 958 to 1386 of the family's 1533-position model. The record is from RNAcentral.